CAGGUGCUGCAUUGGCUGUCGUUCAGCUCGUGUCGUGAGAUGUUGGGUUAAGUCCCGUAACGAGCGCAACCCUUGUCCUUAGUUACCAGCACGUUAUGGUGGGCACUCUAAGGAGACUGCCGGUGACAAACCGGGAGGAAGGUGGGGAUGACGUCAAGUCAUCAUGGCCCUUACGGCCUGGGCUACACACGUGCUACAAUGGUCGGUACAAAGGGUUGCCAAGCCGCGAGGUGGAGCUAAUCCCAUAAAACCGAUCGUAGUCCGGAUCGCAGUCUGCAACUCGACUGCGUGAAGUCGGAAUCGCUAGUAAUCGCGGAUCAGCACGCCGCGGUGAAUACGUUCCCGGGCCUU
RNAcentral lists this ribosomal RNA (351 nucleotides) under uncultured Pseudomonadaceae bacterium. RNAcentral's name for it is "bacterial SSU rRNA". It matches the Rfam family "Bacterial small subunit ribosomal RNA", at positions 1035 to 1382 of the family's 1533-position model. The record is from RNAcentral. Lineage: Bacteria; Pseudomonadati; Pseudomonadota; Gammaproteobacteria; Pseudomonadales; Pseudomonadaceae.